GACGAACGCUGGCGGCGUGCCUAAUACAUGCAAGUAGAACGCUGAAGGAGGAGCUUGCUUCUCUGGAUGAGUUGCGAACGGGUGAGUAACGCGUAGGUAACCUGCCUGGUAGCGGGGGAUAACUAUUGGAAACGAUAGCUAAUACCGCAUAAUAGUAGAUGUUGCAUGACAUUUGCUUAAAAGGUGCAAUUGCAUCACUACCAGAUGGACCUGCGUUGUAUUAGCUAGUUGGUGAGGGAACGGCUCACCAAGGCAACGAUACAUAGCCGACCUGAGAGGGGGGUCGGCCACACUGGGACUGAGACACGGCCCAGACUCCUACGGGAGGCAGCAGGAGGGAAUCUUCGGCAAUGGACGGAAGUCUGACCGAGCAACGCCGCGUGAGUGAAGAAGGUUUUCGGAUCGUAAAGCUCGGUUGUAAGAGAAGAACGAGUGUGAGAGUGGAAAGUUCACACUGUGACGGUAUCUUACCAGAAAGGGACGGCUAACUACGUG
This 495-nucleotide ribosomal RNA is filed under the name uncultured bacterium. RNAcentral's name for it is "partial 16S ribosomal RNA". It matches the Rfam family "Bacterial small subunit ribosomal RNA", at positions 28 to 507 of the family's 1533-position model. The record is from RNAcentral.